RNAcentral lists this unclassified non-coding RNA (518 nucleotides) under uncultured Glomeromycotina. Its description in RNAcentral is "SSU rRNA". It matches the Rfam family "Eukaryotic small subunit ribosomal RNA", at positions 571 to 1092 of the family's 1831-position model. Lineage: Eukaryota; Fungi; Glomeromycota. The record is from RNAcentral.
CAGCCGCGUAAUUCCAGCUCCAAUAGCGUAUAUUAAAGUUGUUGCAGUUAAAAAGCUCGUAGUUGAAUUUCGGGAUCAAAUUGUUGGUCGUGCUUCGGUACGCACUGGCAUUAUUGGUUCCUACCUUCUGAAGAACCGCGAUGUCAUUAAUUUGGUGUCGUGGGGAAUCAGGACUGUUACUUUGAAAAAAUUAGAGUGUUUAAAGCAGGCGCACGCUUGAAUACAUUAGCAUGGAAUAAUGAAAUAGGACGUUUGAUUCUAUUUUGUUGGUUUCUAGGAUCGACGUAAUGAUUAAUAGGGAUAGUUGGGGGCAUUAGUAUUCAAUUGUCAGAGGUGAAAUUCUUGGAUUUAUUGAAGACUAACUACUGCGAAAGCAUUUGCCAAGGAUGUUUUCAUUAAUCAAGAACGAAAGUUAGGGGAUCGAAGACGAUCAGAUACCGUCGUAGUCUUAACCAUAAACUAUGCCGACUAGGGAUCGGAUGAUGUUAAUUUUAUAAUGACUCAUUCGGCGCCUUACG